UACGGAGGUAGAGCACUGAAUGUCCUAGGGGGUAUUGCACCUACCGAAGACUAUCAAACUCCGAAUGCCGUCAUCUUAUACUUGGUAGUCCGACUGUGGGCGCUAAGAUUCAUAGUCGAAAGGGCAAUAGCCCAGAUCGUCAGCUAAGGUCCCUAACUGUAAGUUAAGAGGUAAAGGAUGUGGGAUUGCACAGCCAACCAGGAUGUU
Molecule: ribosomal RNA, 207 nt
Filed under: Clostridioides difficile
Lineage: Bacteria; Bacillati; Bacillota; Clostridia; Peptostreptococcales; Peptostreptococcaceae
Description: partial 23S ribosomal RNA
Rfam family: Bacterial large subunit ribosomal RNA
Source: RNAcentral